Molecule: ribosomal RNA, 253 nt
Filed under: uncultured bacterium
Lineage: Bacteria
Description: partial 16S ribosomal RNA
Rfam family: Bacterial small subunit ribosomal RNA
Source: RNAcentral
UACAGAGGUCUCAAGCGUUGUUCGGAUUCAUUGGGCGUAAAGCGCACGUAGGCGGUUCGUUAAGUCAGAUGUGAAAGCCCUCGGCUCAACCGAGGAAGUGCAUCUGAAACUGGCGAGCUAGAGUACUAAAGAGGGUCGCGGAAUUCCCGGUGUAGAGGUGAAAUUCGUAGAUAUCGGGAGGAACACCGGUGGCGAAGGCGGCGACCUGGGUAGAUACUGACGCUGAGGUGCGAAAGCGUGGGGAGCAAACAGG